AUACGGAGGGUGCGAGCGUUACUCGGAGUCACUGGGCGUAAAGCGUCCGUAGGCGGUCGGGUAAGUCGGGUGUGAAAGCCCCGGGCUCAACCUGGGAAGUGCACCCGAUACUGCUCGACUCGAGUGCGGGAGAGGAUGGCGGAAUUCCCGGUGUAGCGGUGAAAUGCGUAGAGAUCGGGAGGAACACCAGUGGCGAAGGCGGCCAUCUGGCCCGCAACUGACGCUGAGGGACGAAAGCGUGGGGAGCAAACAGGAUUAGAUACCCCUGUAGUCC
RNAcentral lists this ribosomal RNA (274 nucleotides) under uncultured bacterium. RNAcentral describes it as "partial 16S ribosomal RNA". It matches the Rfam family "Bacterial small subunit ribosomal RNA", at positions 523 to 796 of the family's 1533-position model. The record is from RNAcentral.